CAGCACCUCAAGUGGUCAGGAUGAUUAUUGGGCCUAAAGCAUCCGUAGCCGGCGCUGUAAGUUUUCGGUUAAAUCUGUAUGCUCAACAUACAGGCUGCCGGGAAUACUGCAGAGCUAGGGAGUGGGAGAGGUAGACGGUACUCGGUAGGAAGGGGUAAAAUCCUUUGAUCUAUUGAUGACCACCUGUGGCGAAGGCGGUCUACCAGAACACGUCCGACGGUGAGGGAUAAAAGCUGGGGGAGCAAACCGGAUUAGAUACCCGAGUAGUCC
Molecule: ribosomal RNA, 270 nt
Filed under: uncultured archaeon
Lineage: Archaea
Description: partial 16S ribosomal RNA
Rfam family: Archaeal small subunit ribosomal RNA
Source: RNAcentral